GGGGGCGACCCCGGGGGCGCGCGUCCCCGCGAGCUCUGAACACAACCCUUUGGGCGCGGCGAGCGCCAAGGAAUCGAAGCGGAAAGGGCGGCCGCCCCACCAGGCGCGAGCGCACCCCGGCCGGGGACGCGGCACCGCCGUGGGGAUCCGCCGCCCGCCUGUGAAUCUUUUAGACGACUCUCGGCAACGGAUAUCUCGGCUCUCGCAUCGAUGAAGAACGUAGCGAAAUGCGAUACUUGGUGUGAAUUGCAGAAUCCCGUGAACCAUCGAGUCUUUGAACGCAAGUUGCGCCCGAGGCCACUCGGCCGAGGGCACGCCUGCCUGGGCGUCACGCCACCCAUCGCCACCCCCCCGCGGCAUUCCCAUGCCCCGCCGGGGAGCGGAGACUGGCCGUCCGUGCCCGAGCCCUCGGCGCGCGGUCGGCAGAAAAGGAGGACACCGUGCGGCGAGACACGGCGUGUGGGGGUUGAGAGGCGACUCGUCGCCGAUCGUACGUCGCGCCCGCAUUCCGCCGCGCGCAGUGUCACCCGUGGGACCGGACUCGCCCGCAGCCGCGGGCGCUCGG
RNAcentral lists this ribosomal RNA (565 nucleotides) under Machilus shweliensis. RNAcentral describes it as "eukaryotic LSU rRNA". The stretch from base 176 to 331 matches the Rfam family "5.8S ribosomal RNA". The record is from RNAcentral. Lineage: Eukaryota; Viridiplantae; Streptophyta; Magnoliopsida; Laurales; Lauraceae.